RNAcentral lists this ribosomal RNA (468 nucleotides) under uncultured bacterium. RNAcentral describes it as "partial 16S ribosomal RNA". It matches the Rfam family "Bacterial small subunit ribosomal RNA", at positions 28 to 507 of the family's 1533-position model. The record is from RNAcentral.
GACGAACGCUGGCGGCGUGCUUAACACAUGCAAGUCGAACGGUGAAGCUCCAGCUUGCUGGAGUGGAUCAGUGGCGAACGGGUGAGUAACACGUGAGCAACCUGCCCCUGACUCUGGAAUAAGCGCUGGAAACGGCGUCUAAUACUGGAUACGAGAAGGGUCCGCAUGGGCACUUUCUGGAAAGUUUUUCGGUUGGGGAUGGGCUCGCGGCCUAUCAGCUUGUUGGUGAGGUAAUGGCACACCAAGGCGACGACGGGUAGCCGGCCUGAGAGGGCGACCGGGCACACUGGUACUGAGACACGGCCCAGACUGCUACGGGAGGCAGAAGUGGGGAGUAUUGCACAGUGAGCGAGAGCCUGAUGCAACGGCGCCGCGUGAGGGAUGACGGCCUUCGGGUUAUAAACCUCUUUCAGCAGGGAAGAAGCGAAAGUGACGGUACCUGCAGAAGAAGCACCGGCUAACUACGUG